AAUAUCAUUGUAUGCGGACGAUAUUUUACUUACGUGAAAUAUUUCGUCUUUAACGGUAAUCAAAGUAUUUACAACUGUCGAGAUGAUAUUUUAUCGCACGCGUAUUACUAUCGUAGUUUUGAUACAAAUAUUAAUAAUUUUCAUUCGGGAAUCUGCGUGCUUAGACAAUCAGCGAGUGCCGCGAUUGACCUCGAUGCCAGCAAUAAAACGCAUGAUGGCGGAUAAUGCGAAUAAUAUGAGAAUGAUGACAUUAAGUCGACCGGAAACAGCGUUAUUCGGCCUGAAAUUAUCGCCUCCGCACCGCAUUAAAUCUCAACCUGAGGUAGAUCUAGAAAUCGCCAUAAAUAUGCAUUACGAACAUACGAGAAGAUCAACUAAUGAUGUAGAAAAUAACAGUCAUAUCAAUAGCAUCAUGAUUAAUAUCUUGAUGGGACCGAUGGACGUGUUAGAACGGUUUCAAAACAUUUUAAACCGUAUAUUGCAACUGCUGUACAGUUUCUACACAUCGAAGUUCACCCACAAAAACAUAAUCAGAUUCGUGUUGAAACAAAACAAAAACGAUAAUCAUAUAGUAAAAUUUAAAACCGAGUAUUUAGACAUCGUGUGCUCAUAUAUACCUCGAAUUUUGGAUUAUUUGUACAUAAGCCACAUCCCUAAAAACAUUGAAUAUUUCUAUUUAAACAAAUUUCAUUGCACGCUUUGUUACAGGAUGCUUAAUUUCGUAAAAAAAAACUGUACCGCCACCGACUCAGGUUACAUGAUAUGUACAACCAGAAAAGUGCAGGAAAUAUAUUCGAACAUCUUAUCGUAUUUGAAUCGCGACGACUUUCCUAAGGAGUCAAAUUACCAUGAAAUUGACAAAAUGUUUAUUAAAAGUGCGUACGAACACAUAAGCAAAAUCGAUAGGACAUUGAUAAUUGACUAUGCGCAUGUCGAGUUCAAUAUAUUUAAAGACGUGAAUAAGAGGUUUCACAAUGCUAUCAUACAGACAGCGGAUCCAAA
Non-coding RNA from Cinara cedri, 1002 nucleotides. NCBI's taxonomy places the organism in Eukaryota, Metazoa, Arthropoda, Insecta, Hemiptera, Aphididae. The record is from the annotation of a GenBank genome assembly.